GUCUAGCCCUGAUAGAAACGGCAUCCUUUUGUGACGGGGUUCGCCACAAAAGAUAUAGUGGAGAGCAGGACUAAAC
RNAcentral lists this small RNA (76 nucleotides) under Flavobacterium resistens. RNAcentral describes it as "Flavo-1 RNA". It matches the Rfam family "Flavo-1 RNA". The record is from RNAcentral. Lineage: Bacteria; Pseudomonadati; Bacteroidota; Flavobacteriia; Flavobacteriales; Flavobacteriaceae.